Long non-coding RNA from Salarias fasciatus (jewelled blenny), 754 nucleotides. RefSeq lists it as uncharacterized. The record is from RefSeq and is a predicted model, not a curated record. The transcript has 5 exons. Lineage: Eukaryota; Metazoa; Chordata; Actinopteri; Blenniiformes; Blenniidae.
AAACAACUAAGUACUACAGAUUCAACAUAACUUCCUCAAAUGAUGGUGGUGAAUAUGAUUGUGUUGGUCGUCAAAAGGGUUCAUCUGAAACAGAGAAAAGUGAAACUGUCUCUUUUACUGCAGCAGAGAAACCCAGGGCUACACUGACAUCAGGCACCAAAACCAUCUCAGUCGGAGGCUCAGUGAGUCUUUCCUGCUCUGUGAGAGACUCUGAUGGAUGGAAAUAUGAGUUUUACAGAGAAACAUCAAACACCUGGGAGACAAAUGUUGAGGACAACAAAGUCAAGGUAUCUAAAGGAGGAAUUUACCGGUGCAGAGGAGAGAGAGAAACAUCAGGUUAUGUCUCUGACAUGAGUGAUGAAGUCAACAUUCAGAUAACUUUCACCAACAAGCCUGUCAUAACACGACAACCCAGCUGGUCUCAGAUAUUCCAGGGUGAGGAGAUCACUCUGACAUGUGAGGUCCAGGGAGGAGAGAAGACUGACUGGAGGUAUUACUGGAGGAGAAAUUCAGUACCACUUCAACAGAAGAAUGAAAAGGUCUUAAAAGUCACUGCUUCUCAGUCCUUCAAUGAAGAGUAUAAAUGUAUGGCCACACACAAAGAUGACAUCUACUCUUCAACCACAUGGAGUGAAGCCUUCACAGUGUCAGUGUUACGUAAGUGAUGCUUGUUGGUUUUUCUUGUGUUUGUUAGAUUGAUAUUCAGACAAUGAGAUAAUAAAAUGUAACCGAGUCUCCACAAUAUUACGUUCUG